CAAUGGCGAAGUUUCGUUGUACCACCAACAAGCACCGGCUAAGGCAUAGGUGUACAUAAGGCCCUUCCCAAACUGUUUCCAGAACAAGUCUGAUGGCCAGGGCUCCUUCGUCGCCUCUGGCCUUGAUUUCUCUGUAUUGGGCUUUGAUGCCAUUUAUGCCUUUCAAUGAAGAUUCAUAAUAUUUUAACAAAAAGAGAAAAUUCACAAGGUAUUAAACUCAAAAUUUAAUAAUAUAUUAUUAAUUCAUAUACUAUACAUAUUAUUUAUAUAAUAUAUAAAACAUUACCUGUGUUGGAAAGGCGGCCAGAGCUGUGGAAGAUCGGCGAGGCGGAGCUGUGUUGUGGGAAGAUGGGACAGAUCAGACCGAUAGAGGGAAAAAGAGAGCUAGGCUGGAUUUGAGAGAGAUCGAUGGACGGGGCUCGCUAGGGCCGGUGGCUGAGGAGUCGACUUUGCUGAGAGAAAUUAGGCGUCUGUGUUUUAUGUUUUAGGGUUAGACCCGCCCUUUACCCGGCAAACCCGUACCCGCCUUCCCAUUAACUGAAGAGAGAGAAGAAGUAACAGAAAGUAAAAUGAAGGAAAUAGCUCUAUAGAACCCGUUUGGUUGACGUUUUGCUUCUACAGUACUUUUCUUUUUUUAAGAUCAUCAUUUAUGAAGUUGUUUGAUCUGAAAGCUUUCCUAUAUGUGUAUAUUAUAUAUAUAUAUAUGUAUGCAGAUGUAUCACAACAACUCCAAGGGAUCAUGAAGAACAUGCUUAGGUCAAGUACAAUGUGUUGUGUGUUCAUAAAAAUGUCUGUAUUUUAUUUGUCAGUGUUAUUACUUUCAUUCCUGUU
This is a long non-coding RNA of Cannabis sativa, 831 nucleotides long. RefSeq lists it as uncharacterized. The record is from RefSeq and is a predicted model, not a curated record. The transcript has 2 exons. Lineage: Eukaryota; Viridiplantae; Streptophyta; Magnoliopsida; Rosales; Cannabaceae.